Molecule: long non-coding RNA, 1385 nt
Filed under: Neogobius melanostomus (round goby)
Lineage: Eukaryota; Metazoa; Chordata; Actinopteri; Gobiiformes; Gobiidae
Description: lncRNA (ENSNMLG00000004417.1)
Source: RNAcentral
UUGCUAUUCUGUAUAAAUUAAGCACUAUAAUCCUGUUCUGUUUGAAGGAUGUUUUUCUACAUGCUGUUACUGAAAACUCCAUUUGUGGAAAGUUUUUUUUUUAGUUUGUUUUGCGUUUUUAUACAGUGCAUGUUUGAUAAAACAUGGCAAGUCUGAAAAGUAUUUGUUUUCUGAGAUGUGACGAGUAAAUCAUAAAUAUUUGAAGUGACUUGGUGGUCUUUUGAUUUGUAUGUACUUAAACUUGGUCGUUCAUAUGGAGUUUAACAAUGUAAACUGUGUCAUGCAUAUAGUUAUAUAAUUUUAACCGUGUCAAUGUGUCAUAGCUGUCAAAACAUGUUCCCAGCAAGGGAUAAUUGAAAUUUAAAUGGUAACCAUUAAUGAACCCUACAACCUGUAUGGUAAAAUGUUUACUUAACUUUGAACCAAUGGGAAAGUGGGACAUGACAUGACGGGUACAGUACAGUCCUUAAAUCUGCGGGGGUGUAUUAUGUUCCCCAGGUGCGAUUUUAUUUUUUCGUAGGUGAGUUGGUACUUCAACCAAUCACAAGUCAUGAGAGUGAAAUGUCAUACAUCAAGCAGCUUAACCCUGACCCUGCUGUAGCCACUAACCUUAAGGAUAGUGGGCCGGUGCCUAAAAUAGAAGUGGGGGAACAUAGGGCUGACCCCGUCUGCAGAAGUUUAAAACUGCAGGAAUAAACCUGUGAACUUAACAUCCGGAGAUUUUUCGGGGGCGGGUCUUCGGUUAAAGCUGAUACCUGAUUGGUCGAGUCUCACUGCGGUUCCUGUUUCGAAACGCAUGUUGUGUUUCAACGGUGCUGCGAAGUGACGAGACAAACCUGGCACGAAAACACUAGCUAAAAGCCACUCUUACAGGUUUGAUCGUUUUAACUUUAUACAUUGUGCAGAAAGGACUGACGCGAAGCAAAGCUAAAGCGGCUUUAGCUUCGUGUCUAAGUUGGGAGAUGUUUGCCCCUAGGGUCUCCGCCAAAAGUAAGACCGUCUCAUCGGGCAGGCUAACGGGAGCAGUCAAAGCAGUCAGGACGAGAGGGACUCCAAUAUCUAGACCUGAGGUGGCAUAUUCCCUAUACUCAGAAGAUGCAGAGGACCAGGUCGCCACUAUUCACAAAGGGCUGGACCGUUGCGCCGCUCUUCUCGGUGACAUCCUCCACUGCGAAAAAGGGGCCGUGCCAAAGCAGGACAGCGCGAUGAAGGAUGGAGGGGCCAAAUGUCGCCCCCACACUCCGACGGGGAAGAAGGCCAUCCGGAGGUCCAUCCCCAAAUCGGUUUCGAACCCUCGCAGCGCUCAGAAGGUCCGUAGAAAAUCCUAUACCAAAUCCCCUGCUGCCGCCCCCAGGGCAGCCCCGCCCCUGCCCACUACGGCGUGA